GACGAACGCUGGCGGCGUGCUUAACACAUGCAAGUCGAACGGUGAAGCGCCUUCCUUUUUGGUGGGUGUGGAUGAGUGGCGAACGGGUGAGUAACACGUGAGUAACCUGCCCCCUUCUUCUGGAUAACCGCAUGAAAGUGUGGCUAAUACGGGAUAUUCUGGGUCUGUCGCAUGAUGGGUCUGGGAAAGAUAUUGUUUCGGUGGGGGAUGGGCUCGCGGCCUAUCAGCUUGUUGGUGGGGUGAUGGCCUACCAAGGCGGUGACGGGUAGCCGGCCUGAGAGGGUGGACGGUCACACUGGGACUGAGACACGGCCCAGACUCCUACGAGAGGCAGCAGUGGGGAAUAUUGCACAAUGGGCGCAAGCCUGAUGCAGCGACGCCGCGUGAGGGAUGGAGGCCUUCGGGUUGUGAACCUCCUUCGCCAGUGAAGCAGGCCUGCCUCGUUUGUGGGUGGGUUGACGGUAGCUGGAUAAGAAGCGCCGGCUAACUACGUG
This 494-nucleotide ribosomal RNA is filed under the name uncultured bacterium. RNAcentral describes it as "partial 16S ribosomal RNA". It matches the Rfam family "Bacterial small subunit ribosomal RNA", at positions 28 to 507 of the family's 1533-position model. The record is from RNAcentral.